UACGUAGGGUGCGAGCGUUGUCCGGAAUUAUUGGGCGUAAAGAGCUUGUAGGCGGUUUGUCGCGUCCGCUGUGAAAACUCGGGGCUUAACCCCGAGCCUGCAGUGGAUACGGGCAGACUAGAGGUAGGUAGGGGAGAAUGGAAUUCCCGGUGUAGCGGUGAAAUGCGCAGAUAUCGGGAGGAACACCGGUGGCGAAGGCGGUUCUCUGGGCCUUACCUGACGCUGAGGAGCGAAAGCGUGGGGAGCGAACAGG
This 253-nucleotide ribosomal RNA is filed under the name uncultured bacterium. Its description in RNAcentral is "partial 16S ribosomal RNA". It matches the Rfam family "Bacterial small subunit ribosomal RNA", at positions 524 to 776 of the family's 1533-position model. The record is from RNAcentral.